AAGGGCACCACAAGAACGCGUGGAGCAUGUGGCUUAAUUUGACUCAACGCGGGAAAUCUUACCGGGUCCGGACACACUGAGGAUUGACAGGCGAAGGAGCUUUCGGGCUCUGUAAAUAUGCUAGUCCUUUCAUGAUUGUGUGAUAGGUGGUGCAUGGCCGUUCUUAGUUCGUGGAAUAUUCUGUCUGCUUAAUUGCGUCUUAUCAUUGGCAGGGCCUUUCAUCAAAGUGUUUCAAGCUGGCGCUUAUCCUUCGGGAUUUGUUCGUCUUGGCUGAACACUGAAAGGUUACACCUGCUUUUUGAAACGAACGUGACCCCAACCCUUCUUUGUCGAGAACUACAAAACUCAUUUUUUUCUAACUUGUUAGAAUUAAGUGUUUAAACUAAUGGUACCGUUACAGAAGGGGACUGCCAGGUGAAACCUGGAGGAAGGUUGGGGCAAUAACAGGUCUGUGAUGCCCUUAGAUGUUCCGGGCCGCACACGUGCUACAAUGAUCUAUGCAGUAAGCAUAUAUUAUAGUAUACUGUGAUUUAUAUCCAGUAUCAAACCUUCCUCGAAAGUUAGUAGGUAAUCAAUUCGAAGUAUAGAUUUCCUUUAAAGCUAUCAGUGUUCACAUUUUUGUGAUACACGUUGCUCUUUUUUGUAAGACUUCAUAGUGGGGACAGACCUUUGUUAAUUGUUGGUCUCGUUUUCAACUAGGAAUGCCUUGUACGGGUCUUUGGUUCAACAGACCACCCGGAAUACGUCCCUGCCCUUUGUACACACCGCCCGUC
This 773-nucleotide ribosomal RNA is filed under the name Foraminifera environmental sample. RNAcentral describes it as "SSU rRNA". It matches the Rfam family "Eukaryotic small subunit ribosomal RNA", at positions 1160 to 1677 of the family's 1831-position model. The record is from RNAcentral. Lineage: Eukaryota; Foraminifera.